Molecule: long non-coding RNA, 4491 nt
Organism: Quercus lobata
Lineage: Eukaryota; Viridiplantae; Streptophyta; Magnoliopsida; Fagales; Fagaceae
Exons: 8
Source: RefSeq, a predicted model, not a curated record
UUUUUUUUCCAACUAGCCUAUAUGAAAUUUACUCAGAAACUUGGAGAGAAUUAUGGUAACUAUCUCAUUCCUUACCUAAUUAAUUCUUUCCACACAGAAACUUGGAGUGAAUGUUCUUUAUUUUUGUUGUUUUUCUUGCAAUAUGAUAGGCCAUAACAAUAACAAAGUGUUAGUCACAAAUAUUGAGGUCAGCUAUGGAUCCUCAUUUCCUCUCAAAACUUUUUCAUUUUUUUGCAACAUGGUAGAAUACUUAUUACUUCACUCACUUAAUUCACUUUUUUAUUUCUCAAACUUUGGUCUGAUAGGUUAUCAUGAAUGAAAGCUAUAGCUUGGUGUUACCACUCAAAGUAUUCUCUGCUUUUAAGGAUAGCUUAAUUUCAUGGUGAAUGAUUUUUGGACUUCUCAACCAGUAAGACUUCAUUGAACAGGGAUUGCUUGGAGAGUUCUGUUACUUCAUAACGAAGGCAUUCCUUUCAUCUUUGGAUUAAUUUAUUAAGGUUGCUUAGCAUACCAUGGAUUAUGUUAGAGAUAUAGCACCUGUGAAAUAUCAUAUGAAUCUAGCACCUUGUUGGAAUUUUUUGUUUAGUGCUCUGCCUGAUAGGUUCAUGCUUGAUGGUAUAUUUGUGUUGCUGUUGUCAAGUGUCAUUCUUUUGUUUUCCUGAGUUGUAAUUGUCUUAGUGCUCUGUUUGCUGGUUCAGACUUGCUGUUGUAUAUGUGUUGCUGGUUUUCGGCUUGGUUUCAAUGAAAUUUCUGCCUCAUUAUCCAAAAAUAAAAUAAAAUAAAAUCUAGCACCUUCUAUUCUCAAGAACAGGAGUUCCUAACUUUUCUAAUGGCUUUUAAAUUGAAUACUAGACAACAAAAGCUAUCAGACAGAAGGGAACAAAUGAUUUUAUUUCUAACAAUUUGAGUUCCAAAGUAAAAUUAUAAGGUCUUUACACAAAUUGAACCCUUUUUCCUCAUUUUUUGUAAAAAAUUUCCAAUUAUGUUGUAUAAGUAAAUUCUCUUCUGGGCAGAAGUUGGCUUUCAAGGUGAAGGCAAGACUGUUCACCUAAAUGAGAAUGACCGAUGCUUUUAAAACAUGAACUUCCUCUCUUUGUGGUCCUGGGAUGUUGUAAUGGAUACCAAGGCUUAUUUGAUUGAAUUCACUGGUAUUUUUCGCAUUUCCUUUUUUUACCCUUUAUCUGCUCUUAGGAUUUUCGAUCUUUAAUUAAUUUAUGACUUUUGCAUAUUAAUAAAAAAAGCAUGUGACUUUUCCUUCAUCAUUUUCUUCUUUCCGAUAAAUUGCAUCUUUGUUUCUCAAAUUGAGUUGAUGGGAUGAUGUAUUUGAUGUGCUUCAACUAUUGUUUAAACAGAGUAAAAUUUGGCUCAGGGUGAUAUCGAGGUAAUAUUGCAAGGAGAAUUAAAUCUUAAAACCAUGCUGCUGGAAUUAGCUCAUUGUAUAGGAAUUUUGCUGCUUCAAAUCCUUUUUAUAUGUAAGCACCUAACUUGCUGUUAUAUCUUCAAAUCAAAAUCAUAAUAAUAAUGACUCGCAAUUUUUUCUAGUAGUUUGGUCUUCUUUGAAAACAUAGCUCGAUUUUUUAAAUCAUUUGAUAAAUUCCAAUAAAAUGGAAAAUGUUCCUAUAUGUUAUCAAAACAGCAAACUACUAUAUUUUUCUCCCUAUCAAUUUUUAUAUUAUAAGUUGCUUGGGAAAGAAAAAGAACAAAAAAAAAAAAAAAAAAAUUUCUCUGGCAUUUGUUUCAUAACACUAAUUAUCAUAUAUUAUAAAACUAGAGAUCCAAAAAUAUUUUAAUUAUUGGUGUUGCUAUGACAGAAUAAAUAAUAUAGCUAGCACUAUUUUUUUUGUGAAGAAAUCCUUUCUACAGAGAUAUUAGCAAUAGAACUUCAUGCAUCAUUUUAAUGUGUGCUUCAAGCUCUGAUCAUGUACAUUUAUAUUGGCAGUUUUUCACAAAAAUCCAUAGCUUCCUUUGGUGAACCAUCCAAAGAGGCAACUCAUACAAUAUCCUAAUUUCUAUCUCAAGUCCUUUUGGUCAUUUCCCCCUUGUUUCUUCUUUCACCUUUUUAAGACUUGAUUUUUACUUGUAGAUUUUUUGUCAUUCCAUAUGACUUCUUGUUGUCAGUUUAUGUACUAAUAUCUAUCUUGAUUUGUUCCAUUUCACAUGCUAAUAUGAUGAGAAGUGUUGAGUAAAUGAUAAUCCAUGUAUAAGGUGAUGUAGUGCUUUUAAUUCCAUAAUUACAUUGAGGUACAUGGAUAAUUACUUUGACAAAGUAUGCAAAUAACCUCAUGACUCCUGCAAGAGGUGAGCCUACGUAUCUGAAUUAGUAAUGGUUUAACAGUUGCUUAGGUAUUGCAGCACAUUAAGUUUGGAAUUUUUUACUUGUCAUGGUUGUGUCUGUUUCUAUGUAUUAUUAUGCAUUCAUCAGAAUUGUUAUUUGAAGAUAGUUUAACUUUAUAUAUUGAGUUAAAAAAGGUGCAAGGAAGGAAAAUAUAUCUCUGGUAAAGAAUAAAUAAUUCCUAAUGAAUUCUCAUUUUAAAGGAGGAAUUUGAUUUUCAUGAUCCAAAAUAAUGUGAACCAUUUGUUUGGAUUUUUGUUUUUUACUUUUUUUUAAUAUCUUUUCUCACUUAUUUAGUAAAAAAAAUCCAGGUGGAAAUUUGUCAAGAGUAGACUAAGCUUUUCACAUCCCAGGGUUCAAAAUUUAUUUUAGAAGGAUUUAAUUCGUGUGUCUACAGGUAUGGGGACUUUAUUAGUUAUUGGGUUCUAUACUUCUAUAUGCAAAUGCCUGAGGAUAAUUGAUAAUACAGCAGACAAGAGUUUUGUAAUGCAUGUUUUUCUAAAUCUACUUGGUACAAAAAUUAUGCAGAAACUAAGAAAAAGAAUGGUUCCCAUGAAUGAAGACCAUGCUUUUAAGGAUAGUUUAAUUUCAUGAAUUAUUAUUUGAAGAUAUUUCCCCAUGGUCUUGGUGCUCAUUGAUGAAGACAAAAGGUGUUGGAAGGUUGAUUUUGUUAGACGAACCUACCUACCUUUGAAGCAGACAUCAUCCUAAACAUCCCUCUCAGCUACACCCUCCUAGAUGAUCAAAUCAUAUGAAUUGGAAGCAAGAAAGGUGAAUUCUCUGUCAAAAGCGUUUACUAUGUAGCACUUCCAAUCAUUCAUCCAUCUAAUGAGGGUGAAAGCUCAAGAGAUGAUCCUUGCUCGCCUCUCUAGAAAAGGAUGUGGCACCUCAACAUCCCAGCAAAGAUCAGAAUCUUCGCCUGGCAUGCCUGCAUGAAUGCCCUCCCCACUAUGCAUUGCCUAAGAACCAGAGGAGUAAGCACAUAUGGUAUUUGCCCUGUUUGUGACUUGUGCCCUGAAAGUACUCCGCAUGCCCUUAUACAGUGUGACACUCCCAAAGAGGUGUGGAGCAGUUGUCUAAACUGUCCAGUGGAUUAGGAGUCAAAUUCUGGGGAUUUUACUGAUCUAGCAUUUCAUUUCGUCACCAAUGGCACCACUCAAGACUUGGAAACUUUUUUUGUCACAGCCUAGCCUAUUUGGUACAACCAGAAUCAGAUGGUACAUGAGUCAAUCUCAUCACUUCCCAUCCAAAUAUGGGAAACUGCUAGGAGAACUGUCAAGGAUUGCAAAGGUGCCCUUAUCAACUGCAUUUCAGCUGAAAUCCAACCCAGCUUUGUGCUGGACUGCCCCACCUCCUAGCACUCACAAAUAUGGUAGAAAAAGUUCUCAUAAAUGAAGAUUGUUGGCACUUAGAGACUUCUUAACUUGAUUAGUUCUGUGAACAAAAGGAUUGUUUGGUGAAUUUUGUAAAAUCGUAAACAAGACAUUUGCUUUCAUCUUAGCUCCAAUUUCUCAAUGUUGCUCCAAUUUCUCAAUGUUGCUUACCAUACCAUGAUGUUAUAGACACAUUUUGAGAUAGGAAACCUGUAAAAUAUCAGAUGAAGAACCAAAGAAACCUACUCUUAAGAAGUGGGACUUAAUGAAAGCUUUUGGGUGCUGCAAUUGUUCAACUGAAUAACUCACUCACUGAGUCAAAUUGGCACAAGGUAAUAUUACUUGGGGAAUUGAAUCCGGUAACCAUGCUGUUGGAACCACCUCAUUGUACGGGUGUUUCAAGCUUUUAUCAAGUACAUUUGUAUAGCCAGCUUUCUACAACAAUUUGUGGCUUUCUCAAGUGAUUCUUGGACUUCUUAACUUGAGGAGUUCCAUAAACAAAAGGAUUGUUUAGUGAGUGUUGUAAAAUCAUAAACAAGACAUUUGAUUUCAUCUUUGCACCAAUUUCUUAAGGUUGCUUAUCAUACCAUGAAGUCUUUGCACUUUUUUCUCAAGUUUGUUUACCAUACCACGAAGUUAUAGACAUUUUGAAAUAGGAAAUCUGUAAAAUAUCAGGUAAUUUUAUUUCCAAUAGUUGAGGUUCCAAAAAAAUUUGUAAAUAUAGUCUUGGCACAGAUUGGAUAUUUGAAUAUGUAUGUUUUUCAUUUAUUUUUAUUUUUUUAGUUA